AGACCUAAUUUAAGGGCUGAUUGCCACUGGGGAAGGAUCUGUGGUUGGAGAUCCCUCCCUUGUGGGGUUUUCCUUGUGAGCCUAGACGUUUGGAGAUGGGUGAGCACCUUUCCAUUGUGCUAGAACUUUUGUUAUUAUACCUCCUGUAUUGUUGUUCCACUGCACGGAUGUUUCUGAUUGUUACAAUACACAAGUUCAGUUACUUCAGCAUGGGGAAAGAAGAGCACAGAGUGUUACUGAGGAAAGAGGAUGAUGUGAACAGAAAGUAUGAAGAUGAGAACUUGAGGUGGCCAUGGCAAGAGAGAAGAGCUACUCAGAGGCCUGAAGAGCAUCAGAUGAGAAUGACAUCGAGAACAGAUUAGUUUAGCUUCCUCUUGGAUAUACUGAAGGAAGAAGUGGAAUAAUAGAUUAAUUAAGGUUGGAAAAAAACACUGAGUUCACCUAGUCCAAUCAUCAACACGCCCCACCAUGCCCACUGACCACAUCCCCAUGGUUCUUGAGCUCCUCCAGGGAUGGUGACCCCACCACCUCCCUGAGCAGCAGCACCACUGUUUUGGAGGAGAAGUUUUUCCUAAUAUCCAACCUGAAAUUAACAUGAGACCUGGAGGCACUGAACAAAUCACAGCUGCAGCCAUCACAUACUGGGC
RNAcentral lists this long non-coding RNA (647 nucleotides) under Phasianus colchicus (ring-necked pheasant). RNAcentral describes it as "lncRNA (ENSPCLG00000004834.1)". Lineage: Eukaryota; Metazoa; Chordata; Aves; Galliformes; Phasianidae. The record is from RNAcentral.